This 253-nucleotide ribosomal RNA is filed under the name uncultured bacterium. Its description in RNAcentral is "partial 16S ribosomal RNA". It matches the Rfam family "Bacterial small subunit ribosomal RNA", at positions 524 to 776 of the family's 1533-position model. The record is from RNAcentral.
UACGUAGGGACCGAGCGUUGUCCGGAAUCAUUGGGCGUAAAGAGCGUGUAGGCGGCUAUUUAAGUCCUGCGUGAAAUCCUGCGGCUCAACCGCAGACGGUCGUGGGAAACUGGAUGGCUAGAGUGCGGGAGAGGAGAGUGGAAUUCCCGGUGUAGCGGUGAAAUGCGCAGAUAUCAGGAAGAACACCAACGGCGAAGGCAGCUCGCUGGGACGGUACUGACGCUGAGACGCGAAAGCGUGGGGAGCGAACAGG